CCUCAAAGAAGUAGUUCACGGUGAUCAUGCACCAGAUGCCGCCGGUCAACAGCUUCUCGUUGUCCUUGACCAUUUGCGGCGGCACCAGUGCAUCUUUAAUGCCGAGGUUGGAAAGCUGGGCUUCGUAGUCCGGAUUGGAGUCUGCAACUCGACUCCAUGAAGUCGGAAUCGCUAGUAAUCGUGGAUCAGAAUGCCACGGUGAAUACGUUCCCGGGCCUUGUACACACCGCCCGUCACACCAUGGGAGUG
This 249-nucleotide ribosomal RNA is filed under the name Salmonella enterica subsp. enterica serovar Kentucky. Its description in RNAcentral is "partial 16S ribosomal RNA". It matches the Rfam family "Bacterial small subunit ribosomal RNA", at positions 1225 to 1412 of the family's 1533-position model. Lineage: Bacteria; Pseudomonadati; Pseudomonadota; Gammaproteobacteria; Enterobacterales; Enterobacteriaceae. The record is from RNAcentral.